This 406-nucleotide ribosomal RNA is filed under the name uncultured bacterium. RNAcentral describes it as "partial 16S ribosomal RNA". It matches the Rfam family "Bacterial small subunit ribosomal RNA", at positions 30 to 526 of the family's 1533-position model. The record is from RNAcentral.
AUUGAACGCUGGCGGCAGGCCUAACACAUGCAAGUCGAACGAGUGGCGGACGGGUGAGUAAUUUCUGGAAAACUGCCUGAUGGAGGGGGAUAACUACUGGAAACGGUAGCUAAUACCGCAUACCAUCCUAUGUUCCCAGAUUGGAUUAGCUAGUUGGUGGGGUAACGGCUCACCAAGGCGACGAUCCCUAGCUGGUCUGAGAGGAUGACCAGCAAAACUGGAACUGAGACACGGUCCAGACUCCUACGGGAGGCAGCAGUGGGGAAUAUGGAGCAAUGGGCGCAAGCCUGAUGCAGCCACGCCGCGUGUAUGAAGAAGGCCUUCGGGUUGUAAAGUACUUUCAGCGGGGAGGCGGUACCCGCAGAAGAAGCACCGGCUAACUCCGUGCCAGCAGCCGCGGUAAUAC